Molecule: ribosomal RNA, 465 nt
Filed under: Vreelandella stevensii
Lineage: Bacteria; Pseudomonadati; Pseudomonadota; Gammaproteobacteria; Oceanospirillales; Halomonadaceae
Description: partial 16S ribosomal RNA
Rfam family: Bacterial small subunit ribosomal RNA
Source: RNAcentral
CCUACGGGAGGCAGCAGUGGGGAAUAUUGGACAAUGGGGGCAACCCUGAUCCAGCCAUGCCGCGUGUGUGAAGAAGGCCCUCGGGUUGUAAAGAACUUUCAGUGAGGAAGAACGCCUGGUGGUUAAUACCCAUCAGGAAAGACAUCACUCACAGAAGAAGCACCGGCUAACUCCGUGCCAGCAGCCGCGGUAAUACGGAGGGUGCGAGCGUUAAUCGGAAUUACUGGGCGUAAAGCGCGCGUAGGUGGCUUGAUAAGCCGGUUGUGAAAGCCCCGGGCUCAACCUGGGAACGGCAUCCGGAACUGUCAAGCUAGAGUGCAGGAGAGGAAGGUAGAAUUCCCGGUGUAGCGGUGAAAUGCGUAGAGAUCGGGAGGAAUACCAGUGGCGAAGGCGGCCUUCUGGACUGACACUGACACUGAGGUGCGAAAGCGUGGGUAGCAAACAGGAUUAGAUACCCUAGUAGUC